AAAUGGAGACUGUGCUUAGGGCCGCGACAAUACUGCUUGCCUUACCCACCUGAAGGGUAGUUCAGACUUGCACGCAAGCGAUAAGCCACAGUUCUGCUUACAAGACGCAAGACAUUCCCAUCGCUGGUAUUGAUGCUAAGAAAACAUGAAUUAUCCUGAGCGCAGGAAGGGUGCUGCAUAGCCUACAGCAACCACUGCACUGAAUAAACUGGAAUGCCCCACAGGUGGAUUUCUUCCUUUUUCAGAGCCUUAAAAUGGACACCUUUAAGCACGUGCCAGCCAAUGACAUCAUGUACUUCACCGCUCGUGGUGGCUGUGGUGAUAGUCUGCUCCUUUGCUAGUGAGAAGUUGCUUGGAUAAGGAAACUACUCUUAGGUACAUCCAUGAACAGACAAAAGGAAGAAGAGAUUAUCAGAAAUAUUAAGGCUGCAUUACUGCGACUCAGGAAUACAUUGUCCUGCAGAGGACGAACGCUUGUAUCUGCCUAAACAAACACAGGUCAAGCACUGAUGCAAAACAGCUGCAGCAGUAGCUUAUGAUAAAAGUAUAAUCUCCGAGUUACUCUUAGGUACGAGGGUGCCGCUCCUGUGCUAAAUUGCCAGCAGGAUUAUGACUGUUUAGAUGCCCAAGACACUCCCAGAGUGACAGACGGUUGGGUAUUUUUUUCAAUACAAAAAGGGGCAAAGCUGCAAAUGAAGGGUUAAUGCGUCUGUGAACUUCCAGGUGUACUUGCAGUCUACUUCUCUGAUGUGGAUAGCUGUCGAGUCUGCUUUACAACUGCUUUCCUUUUGUUCAGGUCUAACUUUAAAAAUGAGGUAAGCACCAAACCACUCUGCUGAGCUCACUAUGAAGAGGAGGUUUAAUUCCUUGAUGAAAUCUGUCGCACGAUAAUAAACUCACUUAGGAUACCUGAAUAUUCAUUCAAAAUGAAUACAUGAUUAAAGAAUUUUUCUAAAUUAUGCCGUUACUUUUCUACCAGUAACUUACCAGAUCGUUCAAAUUUAUAUUAAAUUUUCUGAUUCCAUGUUCAUUAAAAGAAAAAUAAUUUCAAUGCAGAUAAUUCAACUAUUUAAAUAACAAAGCCUAUGUGAAAUUUGAAUUAACUGUACAUGUGUAUCAGUUAUUUCCAAAUAAUUAAGGGUUCACAGAAAGCAAUGACAGUCCUAAAUACAACAGCAAAAUGUUAACCAGUAAAAACCUUAAAGAAGUAACUGUUAUAGAUACUACUUAAAGAAGUAACAUAGGCUCAUUUUCAUUACCAUGAAGUCCAGCAUGGCAAUUGUUACUGUCAGCACAAUCAAAAAAAAUGUCAUUUUACAGUACCAGUAGUUCCACGCAAAUGAUCCAUCAAUGACAUUUCAAACAAUAGCUCACUACUCCCUUUCACAACUGAGUACCAAAUAAUAAAACAUAGUUAUCUCAGUGCAGCAGAUAUUUUUUUUCAUUUCAAUUUUAAAGAAGAAAAACAGUCAAGAUAGAGUUUAAAGAUAAAUUCUUACAAAUAGUAUGCGAGAACUGCAGUAUCACUAAACAAAACUGCUAUCUUACUUUGCAGGAUGCACCAAAGGUAGGAACAAGACCCAGACUUUCUGCAUGUGUGAAACCCAACAUAAGGGUCUUGAGGCUUGCAGAGACAAGCCUGAACUUGCCACUGAUGUGUGGUUGCCACGAUAAGGAUUACUGCCAACCCUCAAAACACAGUGAACAAAAGUUAACAUGACUCUUUAAUGCCUUAAAUGUUCAACAUUUAGUUUCCACUUUUUGUACUGCAACACUUCAAUAAAUCUACCACUUGUCACAAUUUUGCAAUUCAUAAUUACCAAAAAUUUUCAAUUUUCUCAUAAAGUUGAACUAUCUUGUCAACAAGGUAUUCUCUACAAAUUUAAUUUGUUUGUCUGAAACUGCUUGCUAAUUAACAUGUAGUUAAUUGAUGAAAUCUUUACUCAAAGAUAUUAACCAAUAAUUUAGCAAUAGAAAGACUCUAAGUCCCUUUUGCACCUCAUGAACUGUCCAAUCUACCCUAGAAAGUGGGGAUUUUACAGAAGGGAAAAGAAAACGCUGUGAUUUUUCAGACUGACCUACUUACUCUCUCAGCUGCCCAACUGUGCUAAAGAAGUAAAGUCCUGACUGACUGGAAAUAAAGUACAGCACUAACUGUCCUCUGAACUCAGUGGAACACAAACAGUUAUUUCAUACUACUUGAGAGAGCUAUUCUGUAGUGGAAAAAAAAUAAAAAAGAUGAAAAUUAUACUGUGUAUCAGGGUUGCAAGGAAUGUACUUGUUUAGGAAAGACUGCUCUUUCACAAUACAGUGGAAUUUGCAGCCUGUUGGAAAAAAGCAUCUUCUACAUAAGACACAGCGUUCAGUACAGCACUCCUGCCGUACCACACCCUGCUUGAUCUUUGUGCAAAGAAAGAUGUGAAGGUCAGGGUCCAAUAAUGUUGCCAGUAACUUUUCCAAAAGGCAGCUGCUGGCAACCCCUUGCAAAUUGGUGCAGCCUAGAAAGAAAGGCUAAUCUGUAUUGAAGAAAGUUAGUGCCAGAUAAUUCAAUAUUGUGACAGCCUACUAGGUCCUACCCGCAAAAGCAGCCAAUUAAGGAAA
Molecule: long non-coding RNA, 2601 nt
Organism: Cuculus canorus (common cuckoo)
Lineage: Eukaryota; Metazoa; Chordata; Aves; Cuculiformes; Cuculidae
Exons: 4
Source: RefSeq, a predicted model, not a curated record